AAUCCACAAACUCAAACCCUAAUUUUCUCUUUUCAUUGUCUCCCUAGGUUUAGGCUUUCCCCCGGAAACCUACUCGCCUGUUCUCCGAUUAUACUCGAUGGGAACCGAGCGGAAGAGGAAGGUGAGCUUGUUCGAUGUGGUGGAUGACUCGGCAGCGAAGAAACUCAAUGGAGGCUUAAAUGGUGGAAACAGCAUGACGGCUUCGAUCAACAAGUGGAAUGCAAAGCCUUACUCACAGAGAUUUUAUGACAUUUUGGAGAAGAGGAAGACUCUUCCGGUUUGGCAUCAAAAGGAGGAGUUCUUACAGGCAUUAAAAUCCAAUCAAACUCUUAUCUUGGUCGGUGAAACCGGUAGUGGUAAAACAACUCAGAUUCCACAGUUUGUUUUGGAUGCUGUUGAAGUAGAGACAGCUGAUAAGCGCAGGAAAUAUAUGAUUGGUUGCACUCAACCUCGGAGGGUGGCUGCAAUGUCUGUCUCUCGUCGUGUUGCUGAAGAGAUGGAUGUUGUAAUUGGGGAAGAAGUUGGAUAUAGCAUUCGUUUUGAGGACUGCACUAGUGCUAGAACUGUUUUAAAAUACUUAACAGAUGGUAUGCUUUUAAGAGAAGCAAUGGCGGAUCCUCUAUUGGAACGCUACAAAGUAAUUAUUCUUGAUGAAGCUCAUGAAAGAACUUUGGCAACAGAUGUCCUGUUUGGGCUUUUGAAAGAGGUGUUGAAAAAUAGACCAGACCUAAAGCUAGUUGUUAUGAGUGCCACACUUGAAGCAGAGAAGUUUCAGGGUUACUUCUUUGGUGCACCUCUCAUGAAAGUUCCUGGAAGGCUCCAUCCAGUGGAAAUUUUCUACACGCAGGAUCCUGAGAGAGACUAUCUUGAGGCUGCCAUUCGGACUGUGGUGCAGAUUCACACAUGUGAACCUCCUGGUGACAUCCUUGUUUUCCUCACCGGAGAAGAGGAGAUUGAAGAUGCAUGUCGCAAAAUCACAAAGGAAAUUGGUAAUAUGGGUGAUCAAGUAGGCCCUGUUAAAGCGGUGCCUCUUUAUUCUACACUUCCCCCCGCUAUGCAGCAAAAGAUUUUUGAACCGGCCCCACCACCAGUUGUGGAGGGUGGUCCUCCUGGCAGGAAGAUUGUUGUGUCAACCAACAUUGCAGAAACAUCUUUGACAAUAGAUGGCAUUGUUUAUGUCAUAGAUCCAGGAUUUGCUAAGCAAAAGGUUUAUAAUCCAAGGGUGCGUGUGGAAUCUUUGUUGGUGUCUCCUAUUUCAAAGGCCAGUGCACACCAGAGAUCAGGACGUGCUGGAAGAACUCAGCCAGGAAAAUGCUUUAGACUUUACACGGAGAAAAGUUUCCAUAAUGACCUUCAACCUCAGACGUAUCCAGAAAUACUUCGGUCAAAUUUGGCUAAUACAGUUCUAACUUUGAAGAAGCUAGGUAUUGAUGACCUAGUUCAUUUUGAUUUUAUGGAUCCUCCUGCCCCCGAGACGUUGAUGAGAGCACUAGAGGUUUUAAAUUACUUGGGAGCAUUGGAUGAUGAUGGAAACAUGACCCGGCUGGGUGAGAUAAUGAGUGAAUUUCCUCUCGACCCUCAGAUGGGGAAAAUGCUUGUUGUCAGCCCCGAAUUCAACUGCUCCAACGAAAUCCUCUCAAUAUCUGCCAUGUUAUCAGUUUCUCAGUAUUCUCUCAUGAAGCAAAUGGUGUCGUCUCGCCUGUAUGCAUCUGCUGACCUACAGUGGGCCUCCGCUGUGAUAACCAAUUUUUUCUCUAGUACCCAAUUGCUUUGUCCGGCCUAGGGAGGCUCAAAAAGCUGCGGAUGAAGCAAAGAAUCGGUUCGGUCACAUAGAUGGGGAUCAUUUGACGUUGCUGAAUGUGUAUCAUGCCUACAAGCAAAACCAGGAGGAUCCUCAAUGGUGUUAUGAGAAUUUCAUCAAUCAGAGGGCUCUCAAAUCAGCUGACAAUGUGAGGCAACAGCUUUCUCGCAUAAUGGCCAGGUUCAACCUCAAGUUAUGCAGCACAGACUUCAACAGUCGCGAGUACUAUGUGAACAUAAGGAAGGCUAUGUUAGCCGGAUAUUUCAUGCAGGUUGCACACCUAGAGCGUACUGGGCAUUAUCUAACCGUUAAAGACAAUCAAGUGGUACACUUGCAUCCUUCAAAUUGCCUGGAUCACAAGCCAGAAUGGGUUAUAUAUAAUGAAUAUGUCUUAACAAGCAGGAAUUUCAUCCGCACUGUGACUGAUAUCCGUGGUGAAUGGUUGGUUGAUAUUGCACCACACUACUAUGACCUUGCAAACUUUCCACAAUGCGAGGCGAAACGAGUGCUUGAGCGGUUAUACAAGAAGCGGGAGCGAGAAAAAGAUGAAAGCAAGAGCAAAAAAUGAAUCCAUUCGUCAUACUUUUAGUUCCUCCAAGCACGAACACUCCAUGGGAACUCUGGGGUCAGAAUUUGGCCGAUAGGUUAAAGAUUGAUGUACCAUCUAUUAUGUACUGUAAUAGUUUCUAUGAAUCCCAUCUGAACUAUUUAAUACCCUGUUUCUUGUUGCUGGAGUGAUCUAUUUUUUAUCUGUUCCUCGCGUUCAAUGUUGUGAAUUAUCGAACCAUCAUUGUAAGUUUUUUCAUGUGCUGAAGAAAAUAUAUGCAGCCUUUCUGCUAUAUAGAAACUUGAUUUAGAUUAAUGAGCAAUAUGGGAUGCAGCUGCA
RNA transcript from Solanum lycopersicum (tomato), 2687 nucleotides. It is a transcript of the gene named probable pre-mRNA-splicing factor ATP-dependent RNA helicase DEAH2, with no coding region annotated. The record is from RefSeq and is a predicted model, not a curated record. NCBI's taxonomy places the organism in Eukaryota, Viridiplantae, Streptophyta, Magnoliopsida, Solanales, Solanaceae.